AGACUGCCGGUGACAAACCGGAGGAAGGUGGGGAUGACGUCAAGUCCUCAUGGCCCUUAUGGGUAGGGCUUCACACGUCAUACAAUGGUCGGUACAGAGGGCUGCCAACCCGCGAGGGGGAGCUAAUCCCACAAAGCCGAUCGUAGUCCGGAUCGCAGUCUGCAACUCGACUGCGUGAAGUCGGAAUCGCUAGUAAUCGUGGAUCAGCAUGUCACGGUGAAUACGUUCCCGGGUCUU
RNAcentral lists this ribosomal RNA (237 nucleotides) under uncultured Rhodocyclaceae bacterium. RNAcentral's name for it is "partial 16S ribosomal RNA". It matches the Rfam family "Bacterial small subunit ribosomal RNA", at positions 1146 to 1382 of the family's 1533-position model. Lineage: Bacteria; Pseudomonadati; Pseudomonadota; Betaproteobacteria; Rhodocyclales; Rhodocyclaceae. The record is from RNAcentral.